UGAUAUCGUUCAACGAGCUUUGAGAGAAGAACCUCGGGUGUAGUGAAUGUUUGAUAAGAGAGCAGGAAGGUGUGGACAAAAUCCAAAUCUGGAAGAGUCAAGAUCUCCUACUGUCUGGUCAAGCGUCAUUUUGAUUCGUCUUGAGCUCUGAAUGACUGGAAUGUCAACAUUGACAACGAUCGGUGCAAGCUUACCACCAAUGAGCUGCAAGCAACAAAGCAUGUUAUGAUUAGAGAGUUAAUUGGUUUUUGGCCGUUUGAAACACCUUGCACUCGAGCAGAUCCUGUAGUGAGAAACCGUUUGGGUUAGAAUGUGAUUUUAUGUAUAGAGAAA
Molecule: long non-coding RNA, 333 nt
Organism: Corticium candelabrum
Lineage: Eukaryota; Metazoa; Porifera; Homoscleromorpha; Homosclerophorida; Plakinidae
Exons: 2
Source: RefSeq, a predicted model, not a curated record